AGAGUUUGAUCCUGGCUCAGGAUGAACGCUGGCGGCNNGCUUAACACAUGCAAGUCGAACGAGAAAGGGGAGCAAUCCCUGAGUAAAGUGGCGUACGGGUGAGUAACACGUGGGUAAUCUACCUUUUGGUGGGGAAUAACGAUGGGAAACCAUCGCUAAUUCCGCAUGAGAUAGUAGAGGAGCAUUCUUCAGCUAUUAAAGAUUCAUUGGUACAAGAUGGGCCUGCGGCUGAUUAGCUAGUUGGUGGUGUAACGGACCACCAAGGCUGUGAUCAGUAGGGGUUCUGAGAGGAAGAUCCCCCACACUGGCACUGAGAUACGGGCCAGACUCCUACGGGAGGCAGCAGUGGGGAAUUUUCCGCAAUGGGCGAAAGCCUGACGGAGCAAGACCGCGUGGGGGAAGAAGGCUCUUGGGGUUGUAAACCCCUUUUUCUCUGGGAAGAAAGUUGUGAAAGCAACCUUGACGGGUACCAGAGGAAAUCAGCAUCGGCUAACUCCGUGCCAGCAGCCGCGGUAAGACGGNAGGAUGCAAGCGUUAUCCGGAAUGAUUGGGCGUAAAGCGUCCGCAGGUGGCAGUUCAAGUCUGCUGUCAAAGACCGGGGCUUAACUUCGGAAAGGCAGUGGAAACUGAACAGCUAGAGUAUGGUAGGGGCAGAGGGAAUUCCUGGUGUAGCGGUGAAAUGCGUAGAGAUCAGGAAGAACAUCGGUGGCGAAGGNNCUCUGCUGGACCAUAACUGACACUCAGGGACGAAAGCUAGGGGAGCGAAUGGGAUUAGAUACCCCAGUAGUCC
RNAcentral lists this ribosomal RNA (790 nucleotides) under uncultured cyanobacterium. RNAcentral's name for it is "bacterial SSU rRNA". It matches the Rfam family "Bacterial small subunit ribosomal RNA", at positions 8 to 796 of the family's 1533-position model. The record is from RNAcentral. Lineage: Bacteria; Bacillati; Cyanobacteriota.